Molecule: long non-coding RNA, 1135 nt
Filed under: Anas platyrhynchos platyrhynchos (common mallard)
Lineage: Eukaryota; Metazoa; Chordata; Aves; Anseriformes; Anatidae
Description: lncRNA (ENSAPLG00000020917.1)
Source: RNAcentral
UCCCUGAUGGAAUCCCUGAAUCUCAAAGAAAUCUGCCGGGACCUGCUGAGCAAACUGAAUAAAAUUAAUGAGGGAGAUACUCAAGACUUGGACAGAGCAUUGAAUAAGGUAUUCCCUGUCUGCCUGAAGUGCCAUCGGUGCCUCACUAGCAGCUGUCCACACCACAGCAAGACUGCAGCAACCCAUGCUGUGUCCAUGCUGACCAUCUUCAUCCACUCCCUGAACAUCCUGCUGCUUGUGGAGGAGAUCAAACUGAAGGUGGAGCUAGGCUUUGAACUGUCUGUCUUUGGGAAGGUGGUACACAAAUGGAAGAAAACUCUGGAGCUACCUGACCCUGCUGGAAAUGAAGAAUGCUUUGAGGAACGCUGUGAGGUAUGCGGUGAGCCUCUCCCAAGGGGCACACAAGAGGGAUUGAGCCUACCGAAUGGACAUUUGAAGAGACCAAGAAGGAAGGAGCAGUGUGGGACACGCUUCACAGUCGCCAGACCUGUGACUGCGCAUGGAGUAGGACAGGGGAAGUCUCUCCACACCCCAGAUCCCAUGUGGCCUCUGCCCGCAUGGACACAGCCACCUGUCCCAAAUGCGCUUGAUCAGCUUCAGAGAGCUGGGAUGGAGCCACUGCCAGGCUGGGGGUGUCAGACCCAUCUGCCCACUGAGGCAGGGAGCGGCACCCUCGGGGGAGCUCAGCACCCUGCUGCAGCAGUAGGAAGGGGAGCAAGAGCUGGGGCUGCAUUGCGGGAGCCGUGGGAGAGCUCCCCAAAUGAUCCUUGAAGGGACACUGAAAAAUGGAGCACUAGGCUGUGCAAGGGGCCAGCCCUGCCCCUUCUGGGGCGCUGGCAGAGGCAGGGAAGCGUCCAGCAGCACAAGCCUCUUCCCAGGGCCACCAAGCCAGCAUGGGUGCUGGCUGGACACCCCUGGGGCUCACAGCCAGCUCAGACAGACAGGCUGGAGGAAAGGGCUGAGAGGAGCCUCAAGAAGUUCCUUAAGAAGCGCAGGGUCCUGCCCCUGGGGUGGAGCAAGCCCAGCACCGCCUCCUGCUGGGGGCAUCCGGCUGGAAGCAGCCUGGCACAGAAGGGCCUGGGGUCCUGGUGGGCACCGAGCUGAACAAGAGCCAGCAAAGGGCCCUCGCCACAAA